This 1054-nucleotide ribosomal RNA is filed under the name uncultured Nitrosospira sp. RNAcentral describes it as "bacterial SSU rRNA". It matches the Rfam family "Bacterial small subunit ribosomal RNA", at positions 154 to 1204 of the family's 1533-position model. The record is from RNAcentral. Lineage: Bacteria; Pseudomonadati; Pseudomonadota; Betaproteobacteria; Nitrosomonadales; Nitrosomonadaceae.
AAAGGUGUGCUAAUACCGCAUAAUCUCUCAGGAGAAAAGCAGGGGAUCGCAAGACCUUGCGCUUUAGGAGCGGCCGAUGCCUGAUUAGCUUGUUGGUAAGGUAAAAGCUUACCAAGGCUUCGAUCAGUAGCUGGUCUGAGAGGACGACCAGCCACACUGGGACUGAGACACGGCCCAGACUCCUACGGGAGGCAGCAGUGGGGAAUUUUGGACAAUGGGGGAAACCCUGAUCCAGCCAUGCCGCGUGAGUGAAGAAGGCCUUCGGGUUGUAAAGCUCUUUCAGCCGGAACGAAACGGUUACGAUUAAUACUCGUAAUUAAUGACGGUACCGGCAGAAGAAGCACCGGCUAACUACGUGCCAGCAGCCGCGGUAAUACGUAGGGUGCGAGCGUUAAUCGGAAUUACUGGGCGUAAAGGGUCCGCAGGUUGUUUUGUAAGUCAGAUGUGAAAGCCCCGGGCUUAACCUGGGAACUGCGUCUGAAACUACAAGGCUAGAGUAUGGCAGAGGGGGGUGGAAUUCCGCGUGUAGCAGUGAAAUGCGUAGAUAUGUGGAGGAACACCGAUGGCGAAGGCAGCCCCCUGGGUCAAUACUGACGCUGAGGGACGAAAGCAUGGGGAGCAAACAGGAUUAGAUACCCUGGUAGUCCAUGCCCUAAACGAUGUCAACUAGUUGUCGGGCCUUUACGGGCUUGGUAACGUAGCUAACGCGUGAAGUUGACCGCCUGGGGAGUACGAUCGCAAGAUUAAAACUCAAAUGAAUUGACGGGGACCCGCACAAGCGGUGGAUUAUGUGGAUUAAUUCGAUGCAACGCGAAAAACCUUACCUACCCUUGACAUGUAUCGAAGCCCGCAGAAAAGCGGGGGUGCCCGAAAGGGAACGAUAACACAGGUGCUGCAUGGCUGUCGUCAGCUCGUGUCGUGAGAUGUUGGGUUAAGUCCCGCAACGAGCGCAACCCUUGUCAUUAAUUGCCAUCAUUUAGUUGGGCACUUUAAUGAGACUGCCGGUGACAAACCGGAGGAAGGUGGGGAUGACGUCAAGUCCUCAUGGCCCUUA